UCGGGAAUUUUGGGCAAUGGGCGAAAGCCUGACCCAGCAACGCCGCGUGAAGGAUGAAGUAUUUCGGUAUGUAAACUUCGAAAGAAUGGGAAGAAUAAAUGACGGUACUAUUUAUAAGGUCCGGCUAACUACGUGCCAGCAGCCGCGGUAAUACGUAGGGACCAAGCGUUGUUCGGAUUUACUGGGCGUAAAGGGCGCGUAGGCGGCAAUUCAAGUCAUCUGUGAAAUCUCCGGGCUUAACUCGGAACGGUCAGAUGAUACUGCUUUGCUAGAGUGCAGAAGGGGCAAUCGGAAUUCUUGGUGUAGCGGUGAAAUGCGUAGAUAUAGGAGGAACACCGAUGGCGAAGGCAGCCCCCUGGGUCAAGAUUGACGCUCAUGCACGAAAGCGUGGGGAGCAAACAGGAUUAGAUACCCACGUAGUCCCUGAGCGGGCUGGCAAGGCGCAU
This 446-nucleotide ribosomal RNA is filed under the name uncultured bacterium. Its description in RNAcentral is "bacterial SSU rRNA". It matches the Rfam family "Bacterial small subunit ribosomal RNA", at positions 355 to 825 of the family's 1533-position model. The record is from RNAcentral.